Long non-coding RNA from Perca fluviatilis (European perch), 683 nucleotides. RefSeq lists it as uncharacterized. The record is from RefSeq and is a predicted model, not a curated record. The transcript is spliced from 3 exons. Lineage: Eukaryota; Metazoa; Chordata; Actinopteri; Perciformes; Percidae.
UGGGUUUUACAUCGAGUUUAGUUGGGUUUACAGACAUUAUAUCGGACUUAGUCGUGUUUCUGUUGUUUCCCAUCGACCUGACAUCGACGUGAAUACUCCUGAACGGUUAGUGAGAUGUUCUGCUGGCUCAUAAUGUCGAUAUUUAUCCAGGAUUCAACUUUAUUUCAGCGGUCAACGUCUGAAACGGGAGAGCCAUCCGGGACGGUGCUCGAUGACGGACACCAAACUUGAAUCGAAGUGGGAAGGAGAGAAACAUUAACGGCAGGAGGAGACACAGUGGGAGGAUGAGGAGGAGAGAGAGAGGCGUCCGACAGAGAUGAGAGUAUUUAUAGGUGGAGAGACUGGGAGAUAGAGAAGGAGGGAGGGAGGGAAGAGAGAGACUAGAGAGAGAGAGAGAGAGAGAGAGAGAGAGAGAGAGAUCCAGACACAAUAAGAAUAAAAGGAAGACAAAGAGGAGGAAGAGGGCGAGCCAGAGACCAUGCUGAGGAGGAAGAGGAGCGUGUCGUUCGGAGGCUUCGGAUGGAUAGAUAAGUCUACAGUCAGCGCCCUGAGAGCUCGGUGAGUGAACAUCAUGAAAGGAGAUAGCCAAGCAGCCUGUUGGAUCCUGUUAUAUUUCCCAGCUGCUUUCUGUCAGAUCGUAUAUAGAUUUCGGCGUUUCCGAGUGCACUUGAAGGCAGCUUCAG